RNAcentral lists this transfer RNA (74 nucleotides) under archaeon. Its description in RNAcentral is "tRNA-Lys". It matches the Rfam family "tRNA". From Rfam's summary of the family: Transfer RNA (tRNA) molecules are approximately 80 nucleotides in length. Their secondary structure includes four short double-helical elements and three loops (D, anti-codon, and T loops). The record is from RNAcentral. RNAcentral also lists the same sequence under 2 other names.
GGGCCGUUGGCUUAGUCUGGUAGAGCAAUGGACUCUUAAUCCAUCGGUCGGGGGUUCGAAUCCCUCACGGCCCG